This 465-nucleotide ribosomal RNA is filed under the name uncultured Klebsiella sp. Its description in RNAcentral is "bacterial SSU rRNA". It matches the Rfam family "Bacterial small subunit ribosomal RNA", at positions 338 to 795 of the family's 1533-position model. The record is from RNAcentral. Lineage: Bacteria; Pseudomonadati; Pseudomonadota; Gammaproteobacteria; Enterobacterales; Enterobacteriaceae.
CCUACGGGAGGCUGCAGUGGGGAAUAUUGCACAAUGGGCGCAAGCCUGAUGCAGCCAUGCCGCGUGUGUGAAGAAGGCCUUCGGGUUGUAAAGCACUUUCAGCGGGGAGGAAGGCGGUGAGGUUAAUAACCUCAUCGAUUGACGUUACCCGCAGAAGAAGCACCGGCUAACUCCGUGCCAGCAGCCGCGGUAAUACGGAGGGUGCAAGCGUUAAUCGGAAUUACUGGGCGUAAAGCGCACGCAGGCGGUCUGUCAAGUCGGAUGUGAAAUCCCCGGGCUCAACCUAGGAACUGCAUUCGAAACUGGCAGGCUAGAGUCUUGUAGAGGGGGGUAGAAUUCCAGGUGUAGCGGUGAAAUGCGUAGAGAUCUGGAGGAAUACCGGUGGCGAAGGCGGCCCCCUGGACAAAGACUGACACUCAGGUGCGAAAGCGUGGGGAGCAAACAGGAUUAGAUACCCGAGUAGUC